RNAcentral lists this ribosomal RNA (797 nucleotides) under uncultured Ascomycota. Its description in RNAcentral is "eukaryotic LSU rRNA". It matches the Rfam family "Eukaryotic large subunit ribosomal RNA", at positions 1 to 637 of the family's 3401-position model. The record is from RNAcentral. Lineage: Eukaryota; Fungi; Ascomycota.
CGAUUCUUGUUAAACUCGAUCUCAAAUCAAGUAAGACUACCCGCUGAACUUAAGCAUAUCAAUAAGCGGAGGAAAAGAAACUAACAAGGAUUCCCCUAGUAACGGCGAGUGAAGCGGGAUGAGCUCAAAUUUAAAAUCUGGCUGGUUUACUAGUCCGAAUUGUAGUUUAUAGAAGCGUUUUCGGUGGCAGCCUGGGUAUAAAUCCUUUGGAAUAGGGUAUCAUAGAGGGUGAGAAUCCCGUCUUUGACUCAGUGCAUGCUACUAUGUGAUACGUUUUCAAAGAGUCGAGUUGUUUGGGAAUGCAGCUCAAAAUGGGUGGUAAAUUUCAUCUAAAGCUAAAUAUUGGCGAGAGACCGAUAGCGAACAAGUACCGUGAGGGAAAGAUGAAAAGAGCUUUGAAAAGAGAGUUAAACAGUGCGUGAAAUUGUUGAAAGGGAAACGUUUGACACCAGUUAUGCGGGUGGAAAAUCAGUCUUUUGCAAUGGGGAGUUGUGGGCGUUCAGACCGCAAGGCUGGCGUUUGCUUCAUCUUUGUUGUAAGUGAUGCACUUUUUCAUUUGCAGGCCAACAUCAGUUUGCUUUGCUGGACAAAACCCCAAGGGAAGGUGGCAGCUUAGGCUGUGUUAUAGCCCUGGGGGCGAUACAGUGGAGUGGACUGAGGUUUCGCAGUGUGUGCUCUCGGGCAAGGCUGACUGGGUGCUAUGGGAUCGUUCGGCGUACAAUGCAUGCAUUUUGCGUCGUGUCUUUUUCAUACUCGCUCAACUCGGCUCUUCCACACUUAGGAUGUUGACUUAAUGG